RNAcentral lists this ribosomal RNA (481 nucleotides) under uncultured bacterium. RNAcentral describes it as "bacterial SSU rRNA". It matches the Rfam family "Bacterial small subunit ribosomal RNA", at positions 35 to 504 of the family's 1533-position model. The record is from RNAcentral.
GCUGGCGGCGUGCUUAACACAUGCAAGUCGAACGAAGAGCGAUGGAAGCUUGCUUCUAUCAAUCUUAGUGGCGAACGGGUGAGUAACGCGUAAUCAACCUGCCCUUCAGAGGGGGACAACAGUUGGAAACGACUGCUAAUACCGCAUACGAUCUGACCUCGGCAUCGAGGAUAGAUGAAAGGUGGCCUCUACAUGUAAGCUAUCACUGAAGGAGGGGAUUGCGUCUGAUUAGCUAGUUGGAGGGGUAACGGCCCACCAAGGCGAUGAUCAGUAGCCGGUCUGAGAGGAUGAACGGCCACAUUGGGACUGAGACACGGCCCAGACUCCUACGGGAGGCAGCAGUGGGGAAUCUUGCACAAUGGGCGAAAGCCUGAUGCAGCGACGCCGCGUGCGGGACGAAGGCCUUCGGGUCGUAAACCGCUUUCAGCAGGGACGAGGCCGCAGGGUGACGGUACCUGCAGAAGAAGCCCCGGCUAACUAC